UACGUAGGGGGCGAGCGUUGUCCGGAUUUAUUGGGCGUAAAGAGCGCGCAGGCGGUCUUAUAAGUCGAAUGUGAAAGCCCCUGGCUCAACUAGGGAGAGUCAUUCGAUACUGUUCGACUCGAAGGCAGGAGAGGGAAGUGGAAUUCCGGGUGUAGUGGUGAAAUGCGUAGAUAUCCGGAGGAACACCAGUGGCGAAGGCGACUUUCUGGCCUGUUCUUGACGCUGAGGCGCGAAAGCUAGGGGAGCAAACGGG
This 253-nucleotide ribosomal RNA is filed under the name uncultured bacterium. Its description in RNAcentral is "partial 16S ribosomal RNA". It matches the Rfam family "Bacterial small subunit ribosomal RNA", at positions 524 to 776 of the family's 1533-position model. The record is from RNAcentral.